GGAGUAUUAUGGGAAUUUUUGACACAUCUUUGUUAAGUUUAAUGUCUUUUGCAUCAUCACGGUCUAUUAAACAGCAUUAUAUCUGUGCUGUCAGUGACUAUAUGACCUGCUGAAGGUAACAACACGAUCCCGAAACCAAUGACCCACAGCCUGAGAGGAACAAAGAGCUACACAUGACCUGAGAGGUACAAUUUUGUGUAUUUAGUUAGUUAGUUAGUAAGUAAAACAAAAUGAAUCUAUUUAAUUUUUUACCAAUCUGUGUUCCUUUAAAAGAUCUUAAUUUUCAGAUAUGAUAAUUUUUUAUAAAUUUUUAGAUCAUUUUUCUCAAUAUAACAUAUGAUUUUAUUGUCUUCGUUUUAUUUCAAUCAAGCAUAUUAUAUUUUCGCGCUGUUUUAUUUAUUUAUUUAUUUAUCAUAGGAUAUUAAUGUGUGUGGAUUUUUUGGAGGUGAGGCUCCGAGUGAAAUGUCAACAGCCACCUGCGUGUUGUUAAAGCUCGACGCUUGAAGGGGGUGUGGAUCAAUAUUAAUCACCGGAAACCAAAGGGAUCGAAUUAAAGUUUCCGUGGCAAGGAAGCCGAAGCACAUCUCAGAAUGCAAAUAAAUCAAGAAAGAAAACCAAACCAAUUCAGUAUGCAAAAUAUAACAAGAAGUCAUUGCAGUCGGAUUUCGAAAGUGACGCUGGUCCUGAUGCUGCGCGCAGGAUGCAUCUCAUCUCCAUCAGCCGGUCCAGCUCUCUGCAGGUCCGGUGCGCACAGGGUGACCAACCCGCAGCAGCUGGCCUAAGAGCCGUUUUACAGACCGACGCCAGCACCGCAGAAUGAUCCCAGCAGUUGUCCUCUCGCAGAAUGUUAUUACAGAAGGAGGGAAGGUCAGAUUGCAAGGAUGAUACAUGGGAGGUGCUUUUGAAAUAAGUAAGUCCUUUUUUUUUUUGCAUGAGCGUUGUGUAUUGACCUUGGCAUUUCUGACAAUAACAUCCAUCAUGCACAUGAACCCCUUCCAAACACACAACGGCAGUCCACGCUGAGGCCAAAUGAAUCGGAUUAAGGAAUAACACUGGUGGAUGGAUGCCUGACAUCCAGCGAUAGCAGAAUAAACUAUCAGUUUCUCAGGCUCUCGGGUUUCA
This is a long non-coding RNA of Cyprinus carpio (common carp), 1122 nucleotides long. Lineage: Eukaryota; Metazoa; Chordata; Actinopteri; Cypriniformes; Cyprinidae. The record is from Ensembl.